AUUCUUCUCAGUUUAGAUAAUGAUGAUUGGUUUUAUCACAAUUAUUUGUGAAAUGUGCUGCCAAAUUGACUUGUUACAAUUCAGCACACUAACCGUCUGAUU
This 102-nucleotide small nucleolar RNA is filed under the name Carassius auratus (goldfish). RNAcentral's name for it is "Small nucleolar RNA U13 (ENSCARG00000018137.1)". It matches the Rfam family "Small nucleolar RNA U13". The record is from Rfam by way of RNAcentral. Lineage: Eukaryota; Metazoa; Chordata; Actinopteri; Cypriniformes; Cyprinidae.